AACGGCCGUACCAUGCUGAAUAUACCGGUUCUCGUUCGAUCACCGAAGUCAAGCAUCAUUGGGCGCGGUCAGUACUUGGGUGGGUGACCACCUGGAAACACCGCGUGCCGUU
Molecule: ribosomal RNA, 112 nt
Filed under: Caerostris darwini
Lineage: Eukaryota; Metazoa; Arthropoda; Arachnida; Araneae; Araneidae
Source: RNAcentral